RNAcentral lists this ribosomal RNA (474 nucleotides) under uncultured bacterium. RNAcentral describes it as "bacterial SSU rRNA". It matches the Rfam family "Bacterial small subunit ribosomal RNA", at positions 28 to 501 of the family's 1533-position model. The record is from RNAcentral.
GAUGAACGCUAGCGGGAGGCCUAAUACAUGCAAGUCGAACGGUAACAGGGUAGCAAUACCGCUGACGAGUGGCGCACGGGUGAGUAACGCGUACACAACCUGCCUUAUACUGGAGCAUAGCCUUGGGAAACUAAGAUUAAUUCUCCAUAACAUUAUGAAACGGCAUCGUUUUAUAAUUAAAAUUCCGAUGGUAUAAGAUGGGUGUGCGUCUGAUUAGCUAGUUGGUGAGGUAAAGGCUCACCAAGGCAACGAUCAGUAACUGGUCUGAGAGGAUGAUCAGUCACACGGGCACUGAGACACGGGCCCGACUCCUACGGGAGGCAGCAGUAGGGAAUAUUGGACAAUGGGCGCAAGCCUGAUCCAGCCAUCCCGCGUGAAGGAUUAAGGCCCUCUGGGUUGUAAACUUCUUUUCUCUGGGAAUAAAAGUGGAUUCAUCCCGCCUUGAAGGUACCAGAGGAAUAAGCACCGGCUAAC